Molecule: unclassified non-coding RNA, 1706 nt
Filed under: uncultured fungus
Lineage: Eukaryota; Fungi
Description: sequence contains 18S rRNA gene, ITS1, 5.8S rRNA gene, ITS2, 28S rRNA gene
Rfam family: Eukaryotic large subunit ribosomal RNA (bases 618-1706)
Source: RNAcentral
GGAAGGAUCAUUAACAAAUCCAAUAGAUUUGGCAGCGGGGUGAAAGCUUUGCCUGCCAAAAAUAUUAAUCCUUGGGAGGCGCCGACUGGAUAGUUGGCCAGUCCCAGCGAUAAAAUAAAUGUGUGUAGUGUUGACAGUGUGUGUGCAAUAAAUUAAUUGACAACUUUUAACAAUGGAUCUCUAGGCUCUUGCAGCGAUGAAGAACGCAGUAAAGUGCGAAAAGUGAUGCGAUUUGCAUGAAUCUGUGAGUCAUCAAGUUUUUGAACGCAAUUGGCACUUUUAUGAAAGUAAAAGUAUGUCUGUUUGAGAAUCAUAAAAACGAUCAACUCUAGUUAGAGUUGGCAUUGGCCUUGCAGUUUGUACAAGCUGCUUAGCCUGAAUGCAUAAAGCUGAUGAGCUUUCAGCAGUGCUCAAUGUGUGCUAGCGGGACAGUUGUUUCGAUGUCACAUUGCAGGAUUGUUGCAAAGGUCUACCCGACAGCUAGUUUUGUGGAUGUAGGUAAGUGGGCUGAGUUUUAGUAGCGGGAUGGCUGUUAUAGUACAUACAUGGUAUUUAUUAUAAUAGUCAAUCGCAAACUAAACACAACCCACCCCACCCCACCCCACACCCUAUCUUAUUGAUCUCAAAUCAGACAAGAUUACCCGCUGAACUUAAGCAUAUCAAUAAGCGGAGGAAAAGAAACUAACAAGGAUUCCCCUAGUAACGGCGAGUGAAGCUGGAAGAGCUCAAAUUUAAAAUCUGGCGUAAAAGCCCGAAUUGUAAUCUAAAGAGGCGUUAUCGGACGCAAGUUUGUUGCACAAGUUCCUUGGAAUAGGACAUCACAGAGGGUGAGAAUCCCGUCUGGGCAAUGGACAAGCGGACAUAUGAGACGUUUUCAAAGAGUCGAGUUGUUUGGGAUUGCAGCUCAAAAUGGGAGGUAAAUUUCUUCUAAGGCUAAAUAAUGGCAAGAGACCGAUAGCAAACAAGUACCGUGAGGGAAAGAUGAAAAGCACCUUGAAAAGGGAGUUAAAAGCGCGUGAAAUUGUUAAAAGGGAAACGAUUGAAGCCAGUAGGGCCUGAUGGAGUUCAGCGACGUGUAUUUACCAAUGCACUUAAUAUACAGAGUGCUUUAUUGUGCCUGUAGCUUUGUGCAUACAUACACGUUGUGUAUUCUCUUUUGGGCUAGUCAGUGUCAAUUUGAGUUGGUGGAAAAAGACUUUGGGAAUGUGUCCAUCUUUUGAUGGAUUUAUAGACCAUUGUAGAUACACUGAAUUGGAUUGGAAUAGACAGUGGCUAGCAGAGAUACGGAUCUGCGACUGUGGACACUUGAGAAUCAAUAGAGUCUUGAGUGGCAUCUAGUUGGGUGAAAGUGUCUUUGAUGCUACGGUGAGUACUGACGAAAUGGCUUUAAACGACCCGUCUUGAAACACGGACCAAGGAGUCUAACAUAUAUGCGAGUAUUUGGGUGGCAAACCCGGAUGCGCAAUGAAAGUAAGUACGAAUGGGAUCCCCUUGCGGGCGCACCAUUGACCGAUCUUGAUAUCUCUUGAUAGAUUCGAGUUAGAGCAUAUCUGUUGGGACCCGAAAGAUGGUGAACUAUGCCUGGAUAGGAUGAAGCCAGAGGAAACUCUGGUGGAGGUCCGAAGCCGUUCUGACGUGCAAAUCGAUGGUCAAAUCUGGGUAUAGGGGCGAAAGACUAAUCGAACCAUCUAAUAGCUGGUUCCCUC